GCAACUGAAUUUAUUCUGACUAGGUAGAUUCAUGUAAUUUUGUGCAAUCAUCCCACUUCCGCUAAAAAACAUCUUGAGCUGCCAUCAGAGAGGCAGGUGUAACGCAGAAACCCGGAAAUACGACAGACGAAAACAACAGGAAUCUUCUCACUGAAGUCAUGGAUAAGAACAUACAACAGGAUUUUGAGAACCAGUUCAAUGAUGUGGUCUCAAGACUUCAAUCAAAAAAGAUGUUUCAGUCAGACUGGGACAUUGCCUCUUUUGCAGUUUUCUUCAUCUUUAUAGGAAUGGUCCUGUUGCUGGUUAUCUUGGUUCUCAUCCGCUGCUGUUGUUGCUGCUGCUGUGAUGAGAAGCCAAGAAGACAGAAGGUGGGCAUCGACAAUAUGGGAAUGGAGCCCUGAUCUUCCAGAAACAACAGGCACCAUUACAUCCACUUUUUGUUUCCUAUCAGUUUUGCCACCUUGUUUAUAUGUGAACAAGUAAAAUAAUGGAGGUAGGAGAAAAAUAUUUUAGAUAGAUACUUCCUUAUAGGGAUGAUAAAAGCAAAAAACUUUUCCUACUGUGUAAAAAUGCAGUUAAUAUUUACCCUGGAAAUCAAUCACAUGAUUGAACUUACAUUUCAUUAUACAUAUUUCAUCAGAGAGAACAGAUUUUAAUAUACAAGCAUGCACACCACUUUUGAAGACAUUGGUUACUUUCUGGUUAUACACUUUAUUGAAGCAACUUUCCGGGAUAGAACCAAUGCAGGCCCUUGACAAAUGGCCUCUAUUGAAAAGAGCUUGUUUUUAGUUGUCCAUUGAACAUCAUGUUUAAUCUGUUAAUCUUGUAUCUGGCUGUUAAGACUGAAUCCAUUUAACCUAUAUAUAUAUAUAUAUAUAUAGAGAGAGAGAGAGAGAGAGAGAGAGAGAGAGAGAGAACCUACACACUACAGAAGAGAAGAAAAGAAAAGUUUAAAUAACUUGACUGAUGAGACUUCUCAGAUUUUAGAAAAUGUAAACUGAUAAGUGAUGCUUUACUUGUGAAAACUGUACCUUUGAAAAAAAGUUGUCAAUAUUUAACUUUUUUAAAUGAACAUGUACCACAUUGUAUACAUUUGUAGACUUUGUAAACAAAAAUAACACAUACACACCUUCAAAUUAAUAGCAAAUAAAAUUUACCUUUCCCUAAAUAUCAAA
RNA transcript from Carassius gibelio (silver crucian carp), 1175 nucleotides. It is a transcript of the gene named small integral membrane protein 22, with no coding region annotated. NCBI's taxonomy places the organism in Eukaryota, Metazoa, Chordata, Actinopteri, Cypriniformes, Cyprinidae. The transcript is spliced from 5 exons. The record is from RefSeq and is a predicted model, not a curated record.